UACGAAGGGUGCAAGCGUUACUCGGAAUUACUGGGCGUAAAGCGUGCGUAGGCGGUUUGUUAAGUCUGUCGUGAAAGCCCCGGGCUCAACCUGAGAAUGGCGAUGGAUACUGGCGAGCUAGAGUACGGUAGAGGAGAGUGGAAUUCCCGGUGUAGCAGUGAAAUGCGUAGAGAUCGGGAGGAACAUCAGUUGCGAAGGCGGCUCUCUGGACCAGUACUGACGCUGAGGCACGAAAGCGUGGGGAGCAAACAGG
This 253-nucleotide ribosomal RNA is filed under the name uncultured bacterium. Its description in RNAcentral is "partial 16S ribosomal RNA". It matches the Rfam family "Bacterial small subunit ribosomal RNA", at positions 524 to 776 of the family's 1533-position model. The record is from RNAcentral.